UUUCGAAGGAGCUAAUACCGCAUACGUCCUACGGAGAAAGCAGGGGACCUUCGGGCCUUGCGCUAUCAGAUGAGCCUAGGUCGGAUUAGCUAGUUGGUGGGGUAAUGGCUCACCAAGGCGACGAUCCGUAACUGGUCUGAGAGGAUGAUCAGUCACACUGGAACUGAGACACGGUCCAGACUCCUACGGGAGGCAGCAGUGGGGAAUAUUGGACAAUGGGCGAAAGCCUGAUCCAGCCAUGCCGCGUGUGUGAAGAAGGCUUCGGAUUGUAAAGCACUUUAAGUUGGGAGGAAGGCCAGUAAGUAAUACCUUGCUGUUUUGACGUUACCGACAGAAUAAGCACCGGCUAACUCUGUGCCAGCGGCCGCGGUAAUACAGAGGGUGCAAGCGUUAAUCGGAAUUACUGGGCGUAAAGCGCGCGUAGGUGGUUUGUUAAGUUGGAUGUGAAAGCCCCGGGCUCAACCUGGGAACUGCUUCCAAAACUGGCAAGCUAGAGUACGGUAGAGGGUGGUGGAAUUUCCUGUGUAGCGGUGAAAUGCGUAGAUAUAGGAAGGA
Molecule: ribosomal RNA, 555 nt
Filed under: Pseudomonas putida
Lineage: Bacteria; Pseudomonadati; Pseudomonadota; Gammaproteobacteria; Pseudomonadales; Pseudomonadaceae
Description: bacterial SSU rRNA
Rfam family: Bacterial small subunit ribosomal RNA
Source: RNAcentral